AUGAUGAAAUUGUUCUCCCUUUGUUUCGUUUUCAUGAUAGUGUCUUGUCUUGUAUCCCCCGCAAGAGGACUUAAGAAGCAUAACCGAGUUUACAAGGCCAAACUUCUGGAUGAAAUAAUGGCUGCCUUGCAGGACAAACACGGAAUUCCAAGGUUCUCUACAAGAGUUCAAAGCUGGAAAGCUAGAGCCUUUCAUAAACUUGAACCGAUCGGCUUUAAGCGAAGUUCCCACUGAAGAUUUGGAGAGGCUACGUAAAAACAAAGGAACUUUUGAGAGAAACUUGCUUAAAUAAACUAGAACAUGCAUAUUC
Saccostrea cuccullata (small rock oyster) is the source of this 310-nucleotide long non-coding RNA. RefSeq lists it as uncharacterized. Lineage: Eukaryota; Metazoa; Mollusca; Bivalvia; Ostreida; Ostreidae. The transcript has 3 exons. The record is from RefSeq and is a predicted model, not a curated record.